Molecule: ribosomal RNA, 253 nt
Filed under: uncultured bacterium
Lineage: Bacteria
Description: partial 16S ribosomal RNA
Rfam family: Bacterial small subunit ribosomal RNA
Source: RNAcentral
UACAGAGGGGGCAAGCGUUAUUCGGAAUUAUUGGGCGUAAAGGGCGCGUAGGCGGCUUGGCAAGUGGAUGGUGAAAUCCCUCGGCUUAACCGAGGAACUGCCGUCCAAACUGCUUCGCUUGAGACCGGGAGAGGUGAGUGGAAUUCCCAGUGUAGCGGUGAAAUGCGUAGAUAUGACAUAGAACACCAAUUGCGAAGGCAGCUGGCUACACGAAUAUUGACACUGAUGCACGAAAGCGUGGGGAUCAAACAGG